GAUGAACGCUGGCGGCGUGCCUAAUACAUGCAAGUCGAGCGAACGGACGAGAAGCUUGCUUCUCUGAUGUUAGCGGCGGACGGGUGAGUAACACGUGGGUAACCUACCUAUAAGACUGGGAUAACUUCGGGAAACCGGAGCUAAUACCGGAUAAUAUUUUGGACCGCAUGGUUCAAAAGUGAAAGACGGUCUUGCUGUCACUUAUAGAUGGAUCCGCGCUGCAUUGGCUAGUUGGUAAGGUAACGGCUUACCAAGGCAACGAUGCAUAGCCGACCUGAGAGGGUGAUCGGCCACACUGGAACUGAGACACGGUCCAGACUCCUACGGGAGGCAGCAGUAGGGAAUCUUCCGCAAUGGGCGAAAGCCUGACGGAGCAACGCCGCGUGAGUGAUGAAGGUCUUCGGAUCGUAAAACUCUGUUAUUAGGGAAGAACAUAUGUGUAAGUAACUGUGCACAUCUUGACGGUACCUAAUCAGAAAGCCACGGCUAACUACGUG
Molecule: ribosomal RNA, 497 nt
Filed under: uncultured bacterium
Lineage: Bacteria
Description: partial 16S ribosomal RNA
Rfam family: Bacterial small subunit ribosomal RNA
Source: RNAcentral